GAAUUUUGGACAUUGGUCGAAAGCCUGAUCCAGCAAUGCCGCGUGCAGGAUGAAGGCCUUCGGGUUGUAAAUUGCUUUUGUACGGAACGAAAAGCUUUGGGUUAAUACCUUGGAGUCAUGACGGUACCGUACGAAUCAGCACCGGGUAACUCCGGGCAAGCAGCCGCGGUAAUACGUAGGGGGCAAGCGUUAAUCGGAAUUACUGGGCGUAAAGCGUGGGCAGGCGGUUUUGUAAGACAGAGGUGAAAUCCCCGGGCUCAACCUGGGAACUGCCUUUGUGACUGCAAGGCUAGAGUACGGCAGAGGGGGGUGGAAUUCCGCGUGUAGCAGUGAAAUGCGUAGAUAUGCGGAGGAACACCGAUGGCGAAGGCAACCCCCUGGGCCUGUACUGACGCUCAUGCACGAAAGCGUGGGGAGCAAACA
Molecule: ribosomal RNA, 423 nt
Filed under: uncultured bacterium
Lineage: Bacteria
Description: partial 16S ribosomal RNA
Rfam family: Bacterial small subunit ribosomal RNA
Source: RNAcentral